Molecule: long non-coding RNA, 782 nt
Filed under: Malus domestica (apple)
Lineage: Eukaryota; Viridiplantae; Streptophyta; Magnoliopsida; Rosales; Rosaceae
Description: long non-coding RNA (MDOM_LNC004288)
Source: RNAcentral
AUAUGUUGUAGUUCACAAGUUAAGGAACAACUUCGAUGAAGAAAAUAUGUUGAUCUGAGCAAGAGAAAAGGGAGUUUUUGAAGCUCACAACAAGUCUGACGCGUUGAUAUACAAAUGACGAACAAUCACUCAUCGUACCUGAAUUUCUGGAGUUGUACUGCUCCGAUGGAUCUCCAAUUCGGAUAUGUUGUAGUUCACGAGCUAAGGAACAACUUUCAUGAAGAUGGUUUUGCGAUCUGAGCCACAGAAAAUGGUGUUAUAUUGAAGAAAAGCUAAAGGCAGACUAAAGGAAAGCAAAAAUGGUAAAGCAAAGCAAAAGAAAAGCUAAAGGAAGACAAAAUCAUGGCACAUGAUAAUGAGUCAUACCCUACCCCUCAUUGGAUUCGAAUACACCAAUCCUCCAAAAUCAUGACAAAGGCCACAUUAUAGAUAUCUGUACAAACAUUCCAAAGAAAAAGGGAGGGAGUAAAAAAAAAAAAAAAAAAAAAAAAAGGGCCUAGGCCUCCACUUCUUUGGGCCUAACACAUCUUCAUAACAAAAAAAAAACAAUAUAUGAAGAAAGAGCCCUGGGUUACCACUUCGAAAAGAAACAAGUGAAGUUUUCCUACUCAUGACAUUGACUACUAGCUAGACACCUCAUUCGGCAACUCUUUUCGCCUGAAGACUUGGGGGACUCCCACCAUAUGCUACUGCACCUUGAUACUCGGCAGUCUCAUAACCACUCAGUGACUUGGAUUUUUCAAGUCUCCAACCGAGAAGUUUUCCUCACUCGGGAAAUUAAG